GAAACGGUAGCUCAACGGAAGAGCACUGGCCUGCCACGCCAGGGGUUGCGGGUUCGGGCCCCGUCCGUUUCU
This 72-nucleotide transfer RNA is filed under the name Chryseobacterium hagamense. RNAcentral describes it as "Chryseobacterium sp. RHA2-9 tRNA". It matches the Rfam family "tRNA". From Rfam's summary of the family: Transfer RNA (tRNA) molecules are approximately 80 nucleotides in length. The record is from Rfam by way of RNAcentral. Lineage: Bacteria; Pseudomonadati; Bacteroidota; Flavobacteriia; Flavobacteriales; Weeksellaceae.